Molecule: ribosomal RNA, 484 nt
Filed under: uncultured bacterium
Lineage: Bacteria
Description: partial 16S ribosomal RNA
Rfam family: Bacterial small subunit ribosomal RNA
Source: RNAcentral
AUUGAACGCUGGCGGCAGGCCUAACACAUGCAAGUCGAGCGGAUGAAGGGAGCUUGCUCCUGGAUUCAGCGGCGGACGGGUGAGUAAUGCCUAGGAAUCUGCCGGGUAGUGGGGGAUAACGUCCGGAAACGGGCGCUAAUACCGCAUACGACCUGAGUGAGAAAGUGGGGGAUCUUCGGACCUCACGCUAUCAGAUGAGCCUAGGUCGGAUUAGCUAGUUGGUGGGGUAAAGGCCUACCAAGGCGACGAUCCGUAACUGGUCCGAGAGGAUGAUCAGUCACAGUGGAACUGAGACACGGUCCAGACUCCGACGGGAGGCAGCGGUGGGGAAUAUUGGACAAUGGGCGAAAGCCUGAUCCAGCCAUGCCGCGUGUGUGAAGAAGGUCUUCGGAUUGUAAAGCACUUUAAGUUGGGAGGAAGGGCAGUAAGUUAAUACCUUGCUGUUUUGACGUUACCAACAGAAUAAGCACCGGCUAACUUCGUG